AGUCGUAACAAGGUCUCCGUUGGUGAACCAGCGGAGGGAUCAUUACCGAGUUUACAACUCCCAAACCCCUGUGAACAUACCUUAAUGUUGCCUCGGCGGAUCAGCCCGCUCCCCGUAAAACGGGACGGCCCGCCAGAGGACCCAAACUCUAAUGUUUCUUAUUGUAACUUCUGAGUAAAACAAACAAAUAAAUCAAAACUUUCAACAACGGAUCUCUUGGUUCUGGCAUCGAUGAAGAACGCAGCAAAAUGCGAUAAGUAAUGUGAAUUGCAGAAUUCAGUGAAUCAUCGAAUCUUUGAACGCACAUUGCGCCCGCUGGUAUUCCGGCGGGCAUGCCUGUUCGAGCGUCAUUUCAACCCUCAAGCCCCCGGGUUUGGUGUUGGGGAUCGGCUCUGCCUCACGGCGGUGCCGCCCCCGAAAUACAUUGGCGGUCUCGCUGCAGCCUCCAUUGCGUAGUAGCUAACACCUCGCAACUGGAACGCGGCGCGGCCAUGCCGUAAAACCCCAACUUCUGAAUGUUGACCUCGGAUCAGGUAGGAAUACCCGCUGAACUUAAGCAUAUCAAUAAGCGGAGGAA
Molecule: unclassified non-coding RNA, 577 nt
Filed under: Fusarium sp. IHEM 28077
Lineage: Eukaryota; Fungi; Ascomycota; Sordariomycetes; Hypocreales; Nectriaceae
Description: sequence contains 18S rRNA gene, ITS1, 5.8S rRNA gene, ITS2, 28S rRNA gene
Rfam family: 5.8S ribosomal RNA (bases 197-350)
Source: RNAcentral